This 387-nucleotide unclassified non-coding RNA is filed under the name soil metagenome. RNAcentral's name for it is "partial contains 5.8S ribosomal RNA, internal transcribed spacer 2, and large subunit ribosomal RNA". The stretch from base 1 to 120 matches the Rfam family "5.8S ribosomal RNA", at positions 35 to 154 of the family's 154-position model. The record is from RNAcentral.
GAUGAAGAACGCAGCGAAAUGCGAUAAGUAAUGUGAAUUGCAGAAUACAGUGAAUCAUCGAAUCUUUGAACGCACCUUGCACCCUUUGGCAUUCCGAAGGGUAUGCUCGUUUGAGUGUCAUUGUACUCUCACACUCUCCGAUCCUAUGGAUUCGGGGAGCGGUGGACUUGGGUGUUGCUGCCUUUCCUUGUGGCUCACCUCAAAUGUGUCAGUGCACCUCUUGGUUGGACAUAGUACGGCGUGAUAAGUGUCUUCGCCGGCACCUCGCAAGAGGGUGGCCGAUCGGGAGCUCUGUGCUUUCAAACCGUCUUCGGACAAUUUCUGACAACUUGACCUCAAAUCGAGUAGGACUACCCGCUGAACUUAAGCAUAUCAAUAAGCGGAGGA